UUUCGAAUCAUUCACAAUGGGCGAAAGCCUGAUGGUGCGACGCCGCGUGAGGGAUGAAGGUCUUCGGAUUGUAAACCUCUGUCACUGGGGAAGAAACGCUUUGAGUUAAUAGUUCAAAGCCUGACUUAACCCGGAGAGAAAGCAGUGGCUAACUCUGUGCCAGCAGCCGCGGUAAUACAGAGACUGCAAGCGUUAUUCGGAUUCACUGGGCGUAAAGGGUGCGCAGGCGGCCGUGUGUGUGAAGUGUGAAAUCCCAGAGCUUAACUCCGGAACUGCGCCUCAAACUACACGGCUAGAGCAUUGGAGAGGGAAGUGGAAUUCACGGUGUAGCAGUGAAAUGCGUAGAUAUCGUGAGGAACACCAGUGGCGAAGGCGACUUCCUGGACAAUUGCUGACGCUCAG
RNAcentral lists this ribosomal RNA (402 nucleotides) under uncultured bacterium. RNAcentral's name for it is "bacterial SSU rRNA". It matches the Rfam family "Bacterial small subunit ribosomal RNA", at positions 355 to 750 of the family's 1533-position model. The record is from RNAcentral.